GAUGAACGCUGGCGGCGUGCUUAACACAUGCAAGUCGAACGAUGAAGCCCAGCUUGCUGGGUGGAUUAGUGGCGAACGGGUGAGUAACACGUGAGUAACCUGCCCUUAACUCUGGGAUAAGCCUGGGAAACUGGGUCUAAUACCGGAUAGGAGCGUCCACCGCAUGGUGGGUGUUGGAAAGAUUUAUAGGUUUUGGAUGGACUCGCGGCCUAUCAGCUUGUUGGUGAGGUAAUGGCUCACCAAGGCGACGACGGGUAGCCGGCCUGAGAGGGUGACCGGCCACACUGGGACUGAGACACGGCCCAGACUCCUACGGGAGGCAGCAGUGGGGAAUAUUGCACAAUGGGCGCAAGCCUGAUGCAGCGACGCCGCGUGAGGGAUGACGGCCUUCGGGUUGUAAACCUCUUUCAGUAGGGAAGAAGCGAAAGUGACGGUACCUGCAGAAGAAGCACCGGCUAACUACGUG
This 466-nucleotide ribosomal RNA is filed under the name uncultured bacterium. Its description in RNAcentral is "partial 16S ribosomal RNA". It matches the Rfam family "Bacterial small subunit ribosomal RNA", at positions 28 to 507 of the family's 1533-position model. The record is from RNAcentral.